This 443-nucleotide ribosomal RNA is filed under the name uncultured bacterium. RNAcentral's name for it is "partial 16S ribosomal RNA". It matches the Rfam family "Bacterial small subunit ribosomal RNA", at positions 338 to 795 of the family's 1533-position model. The record is from RNAcentral.
CCUACGGGUGGCAGCAGUGGGGAAUAUUGGGCAAUGGACGCAAGCCUGACCCAGCAACGCCGCGUGAAUGAAGAAGGCUUUCGGGUUGUAAACUUCUUUUCUCAGGGACGAAGCAAGUGACGGUACCUUAGGAAUAAGCCACGGCUAACUACGUGCCAGCAGCCGCGGUAAUACGUAGGUGGCAAGCGUUAUCCGGAUUUACUGGGUGUAAAGGGCGUGUAGGCGGGUACGCAAGUUAGAUGUGAAAACCCCGGGCUCAACCUGUGGCCUGCAUUUGAAACUGUGGUACUUGAGUACUGGAGAGGCAGAUGGAAUUCCUAGUGUAGCGGUGGAAUGCGUAGAUAUUAGGAGGAACACCAGUGGCGAAGGCGGUUUGCUGGACAGCAACUGACGCUGAGGCGCGAAAGCGUGGGGAGCAAACAGGAUUAGAUACCCCAGUAGUC